RNAcentral lists this long non-coding RNA (1001 nucleotides) under Homo sapiens (human). Its description in RNAcentral is "HSALNT0334158". The record is from RNAcentral. Lineage: Eukaryota; Metazoa; Chordata; Mammalia; Primates; Hominidae.
AGGUUUAUUGCCUGGCUAUAGACAGCCCGAGAAAGAAAGUUAGCUUCCCACCCCCGGCAGCUGCAGUGAUUGGAAAACGAGCCUGAGCCUUUUCACCGAAAAGAAUAUAUCAUUAUCCGUUGGGUUCGCCCUACUUCCCUGUUAAGAAUCACCUGAAGUGCCUAAAAAUCCGCGAGUUUCAGGGCUUUUCCCUGGAAAUAAUGAUUUAGAACGUCCUGGGGGAGGGCCUAGGAGUCUGUGGGUUUAAUAAGCACCUCCAGGAUUUGUGUCUUCGGACAUGAUUCGUGCUUGUGGACAAAACUGACCUCGGAGCUGAGUCAAGCAUUGAAAAAUCCUGGAACUUUCAAUAUUUAUGUAGCCAAAGUGUCUCUCUUGCUCACUCACUUGCUUGCUUGUGUACCACUAAUUGAGCAACUACUAUGGGCCAGAUGCUCUGGAAAAUGUUGUUCUGAAGAGGAGUACUAAUCUUCACCAGUGGUGCACCUAGCUGUAUUUUGCACAUUAGGAAACAGACCCAGAGGCACACCUCCCAGAUGCAUCUUCCUCAUGGGGUUGUCGCAGGGUUUAAGAAAAUGAACUCAUAUAAAGGGCUCAGAAUAGUGUCUGGAUCACAGAACUCUGAAGAAUUUAUGUCAGUGAUUCUGAAGUGAGAAUGGAACAUGGAUCCAACCCCUCUAAGGCAGAAGAGAUGUGAGCAGAUUACCUUCUCUGUCCUUAAAAGGAGUGGCCCUGCAUUCCCUGAGAGGGCAUAGCUGGGGCAGUCAUCUGGACCCACCAGACAGGAGCUGAAGCUUGAUAAAAGGUGCCUGGUUCCAGUGACUAUGGAGCAGCCUGCCAGCACUAGAGGAGUCACAGAGAUGUCUAGAUGAGUCACAGAGACAUUUACAUGACAGAAAAAUAAACAACUAUGUUGUUUAAGCCAUUAUUAGUCAGUCUUUCAGUUCAAGCAGCUACACGUGUAUUUUAAUUAAUACCAAGACAGCUCUGUAAGUUUGAUCCAU